AUGAUGUUGAAGAUGAGCGGGUGGCAGCGACAAAGCCAAAAUCAGUUCCGGAUCCUAAGGAGAAAGUGUUCCAGAAGGAAGUGUAUCUUCAUACAUCACCACACCUGAAAGAAGGUAAACUUCACAACUCUUUUCCAAAACCAACUCCUAAGGAAAAGCUGCUUAGGCUCCCUUUGCUGGGAUCCUAAGAAGUUACUAGAAGACCCAGCCUAAAGAAGGAGAGCAAGAACCUGAUCCAUCUGCAGAGAUGGCAGCUGAGUCAUUGCCUUUCUCCUUCGGGACGGUGUCCAGCUGGGAGCUGGAAGCCUGGUAUGAGGAUCUGCAGGAGGUUCUGUCUUCAGAUGAAAACGGGGGUGCUUAUAUCUCACCCCCUAGAAACGAAGAGG
Molecule: RNA transcript, 386 nt
Organism: Marmota monax (woodchuck)
Lineage: Eukaryota; Metazoa; Chordata; Mammalia; Rodentia; Sciuridae
Gene name: DDIT3 upstream open reading frame protein
Exons: 3
Source: RefSeq, a predicted model, not a curated record